Molecule: ribosomal RNA, 253 nt
Filed under: uncultured bacterium
Lineage: Bacteria
Description: partial 16S ribosomal RNA
Rfam family: Bacterial small subunit ribosomal RNA
Source: RNAcentral
UACGUAGGUGGCAAGCGUUAUCCGGAUUUAUUGGGUGUAAAGGGCGUGUAGGCGGGAAUGCAAGUCAGAUGUGAAAACUAUGGGCUCAACCCAUAGCCUGCAUUUGAAACUGUAUUUCUUGAGUGCUGGAGAGGCAAUCGGAAUUCCGUGUGUAGCGGUGAAAUGCGUAGAUAUACGGAGGAACACCAGUGGCGAAGGCGGCCUGCUGGACGAUGACUGACGUUGAGGCUCGAAAGCGUGGGGAGCAAACAGG